UCCCUAGUAGCUCAGAUGGUAAAGCAUCUUCCUGCAAUGCAGGAGACCAGGGUUUGAUCCCUGGUUAGGGAA
Molecule: non-coding RNA, 72 nt
Organism: Bos taurus (domestic cattle)
Lineage: Eukaryota; Metazoa; Chordata; Mammalia; Artiodactyla; Bovidae
Source: Rfam